This is a long non-coding RNA of Malaya genurostris, 1918 nucleotides long. RefSeq lists it as uncharacterized. The record is from RefSeq and is a predicted model, not a curated record. The transcript has 3 exons. Lineage: Eukaryota; Metazoa; Arthropoda; Insecta; Diptera; Culicidae.
CAUAUGUAGAGGGCACGUGAGUGAAAGGAUGAUGUUUUCCAUUUCGUGUGUCAAAACGUAUUGAAAAUUUGUAAACAAUGAUAAAAAUUAUUUAUUACAAUUAUUCUAAAAAGAUAUCUUGACGAAACCUAAAAGUUUAAUAUAAGAAAAAUAGUUUUCUACUAUCAGGUAUCAAAACGAAUACGAAUUUAAGUUUUCAUCUUGUAGAAUUCGUGGCUCCAGUUUUAGUUCACAAUAAUGAUGAAAUGCAUAGUUCCUGGAUGCCGCUCGAAGGAAAAUAAAUCCAGAGCUAAUUUCUAUAACGUCCCGUCAACCGGUUACAGCGUGUUCAGAGAAUGGAAAAAGUUUUUGAAUUUAUCUGAAUGUAGAACAGAAAAAAUUUGCAGGCGUCAUUUCACUGUUAAAGAUUUUUAUAUUCAUAAUCGUAUCGAAUUGAAAGAUGAUGCUAUUCCGUCAUUAAGAAUUCCACAGAGUGGUCCGAAGGUAGAUAUAGAAGGAGCUUGCUGUGUUUUUCGAUGCGGAACAAAAAAUAGUAAGAAAUUGCGAAAGUUUCCAUCACGGAAGGCUAUUUUGAAUAGAUGGUUGCAAACAUUAGAAAUUGGAGAACAUGUUACAACUAAGCUUAAAAUUUGUUUGCGGCAUUUUACUGUCAACGAUUACGUUAAAGUUACGAGGAGAUACCUAAAACCAAGUGCUAUCCCAUCAAAACAUAUGAAAAAACUUGUCAAAUAUCCCAAACGAUUUCAACGUGCUAAAGUACCGCCUUCACAUUUAUGGGAUCACAACUACUGUGUGUACUAUAGAACUCGUCUUACUACGAAUCGAGUAUGUUACGUUAUGGGUUGUUCUUCGAGAGCAUGCAAAGGAAUUUCUUUACAUAAAUUUCCAAUGAAAAAUAAUUCACUUUUUAAAUCAUGGACAAAAGCUUUGCAAUGCUCCGUAAUGCCAACGAAAAACUCACGUGUUUGCAGUAAGCACUUUCGGAAAUCGGAUUUUGUUCAACGUAACUUUAUUUUCUUUUUAUAUCAAAUCCUUUGUAUCGCGAAACCUAAUUCUAGGGGGACGAGUUUUGAAAAAAACAGCAAUUCCUAUCAAUAAAUCCUCUGCUACAACGAUGUACGGAAUAAAUAGUGUUGAAUGUUCUGACCUUUCUUUAUGCGAUGACAACAGUGUGGAGGAUUUGUCCACGUCAAAAAUCACUAACUCACCACCCCAGAGUAGCUCUCAUGAUACCGAGAAUAAUCUGAAAAUGACCAUAAUAAAAAAUUCAUCGUGUGAAACCAACGAAAUUGUUAUUUCACCCGCUGAAGAAGCAACUGCUGACGUCGAUGUGCAAGUAGACAAUUAUUACGGUCACAUAGUUCAAGAAACUGUAAAGAAUGUUCAAAAAGAUAACAGCUUGAUUCUUUCCGAUCUCCUGCAAACAGACUUUGAGACUAACAUUUGGACCGGAAUUUCGACACUUGAACAAUUAGAAGAGAUAUGUUUGGCAGUUAAAACUUUAGAAGAUAAUUUGUAUCCCAGAAAAUUUAAAAUGCAUGCAACUGAUCGCGUAAUUUUGUCUCUGGCCAAACUCAAGCAAAAUAUUUCGUAUGAAGCAUUGGGUACUUUAUUUCGUAUAUCAGGUGUAACAGUAUCGAAAUAUAUUUCCCACACAAUUCAAAUGUUGGCACGUGUUUUGAGACGUUUUGUUUAUUGGCCGUCCAGAGAAGAGCUUCAAAAGAAUGUACCUUUGUGCUUCCGCGAGCAUUUUACCAAUGUAACUGUUGUGUUAGAUGCCUUUGAAGUACCGGUUGCUACACUUAAAUGCCUCAACUGCAGAAUUUCGUGCUAUUCGCACUACAAAUCCCAUCGCACGGUAAAAUUUCUUGUUGGUGUGUCACCUGGAGGAAUUAUAACAUUUAUAAGCAAAGCAUAU